This 292-nucleotide long non-coding RNA is filed under the name Bos taurus (domestic cattle). RNAcentral's name for it is "long non-coding RNA NONBTAT020100". The record is from RNAcentral. Lineage: Eukaryota; Metazoa; Chordata; Mammalia; Artiodactyla; Bovidae.
AGAAAUACAAGUACAGAACUGUCUGUGAAACAAAAGCAUUUACUUAGGGAAGAUGGGAAUUCAAAUGAAUUAAACAGCUGCAAUUGGAAGGAAAGGGGCAGGAUCAUCUCUGCCAGGGCCAAAAUUCAUGUAUACCCCAAUUCUGACCCUACUCAAUCUCUUUAAGUCCACUUCCAAUCUACCUUGGAUUGUCAUCUUUGGAGAGAAGAGCCAAAAUUAGGGUGAGUGGGAUACAGAUACUUUUUUCUUUUAGUUUUUUUUUCCUUUUUUGUUAAUUUUUUACCCAUAGACU